CAAGUUAUAAUUUAAUAAAAAUAUUUUAUUUACAAUAAAAAUAAUUGUUGUUUAAUUCAACUUAAUUUGA
This 70-nucleotide transfer RNA is filed under the name Conaspidia wangi. RNAcentral describes it as "tRNA-Val". Lineage: Eukaryota; Metazoa; Arthropoda; Insecta; Hymenoptera; Tenthredinidae. The record is from RNAcentral.